Molecule: long non-coding RNA, 1149 nt
Filed under: Gossypium barbadense (sea-island cotton)
Lineage: Eukaryota; Viridiplantae; Streptophyta; Magnoliopsida; Malvales; Malvaceae
Description: long non-coding RNA (GBAR_LNC016076)
Source: RNAcentral
AGCACCAGGUAAUCUUACUGUUUUGGGUCUUUCAUUUACAAUGCAAUAUAAGAAAUUGGCAAAAUUUACAUGUCACAAGGUUCAAAGAAAGAAGAAAACCACAAAUCAUCAGCUAUUGCCUCCUUGUCUUAGCAACUUCUUAAACUCUUCACCAGUGCUCUUUAGCAUGUUAGCCACAGGCAAUUUAACCCCACUUUGUAAGACUUUAAUGUUUCUUGGUUUUAUCCUCUUCUCUAACCUGAAAACAAACAAAUAAGUGCCACCUUCGAUAUUUCAUGCAGGUAAAUGAAACAAAUAGUUUCAACGCAAACUAAAGUCUGAGAUGAUUUGAAGUCAGUCAAGUGAUAAAGGUGAUGUCAGUUAGAAUUGCCUAUGACUUAGCAUUCAAUAGAAUUAACUCUCGCCCAGAAGACACAAAUAUUUAUGAUCCUGAGAAUACCUAGUUUUACUGCUCCAGCAUGCUGAAUGAAAGCGAUUCAAGCCAUACUACGGUUUACCACUACUGAAAGCGAAUGACAAUCUGAAGUUGCAUCGUAUCAAUUCAGUGACAACAGAUUGUUAUCUCAGAAAGUUCUCAAAAAGCUAUUUCAAACAAUUACACUCGCAAGUCACGUGGUUAGAUUUCAGGAAUGCAAUGUCAUUACUCAACUAGUAAAAGGAAACAAGAGACAGAGAACCAUGGAGCUCAUUUACAUUAAAUGCAAGAGAUAUCCAGCACAGAUACAGAAUUUACGAAUAUCAUAAAAUAUAGAAUUAAUUUGUGCACACCUGAUAGUCCAAGAGGGGAAUGUUACUUUUUCGUUGACAGCCAGUUUUCUAAUGAACGAUUUUUGUUGUCUUAUUCAUGUGUCAUUGGAGCUUAGUGAAUAAAAAAUAGAGCCAAACCACCCAAGGUGUAUCCACUAGUACAUUUCUAUUCAAGCAUUAUUGACGAUCCCCUCUUCCCCAGGGUCAAAACAAAGUUAUUGACGAUCCACCGGCACUACUGCUAAGUGAAAUCCGUGGUGUGGGGAUCCAACACAAGAUAGAGAAACUGCUUUUGAAUUUUUAAUGAAACAUCGUGAAUAUGACUUCUCGUAUAAAAUGGAUGAAUGAAUAUAAAGGAUUAGGCACGUCAUUAUGUUUUCUAGAUCACCAUGGCUUUUCACU